GACAACAGAGUUUGAUCCUGGCUCAGAACUAACGCUGGCGGCGCGUCUUAAACAUGCAAGUCAUACGGGUAGCAAUACCAGUGGCGAACGGGUGAGUAAUACAUGGAUAAUCUACCUAAAAGUUGGGGAUAACUCAGAGAAAUUUGGGAUAAUACCGAAUGUGACGGUUCGGCAUAAGCCAGAUUGGUUAAAGCAGCAAUGCGCUUUUAGAUGGGUCCAUGGCUGAUUAGCUAGUUGGUAGGGUAAAGGCCUACCAAGGCGACGAUCAGUAGCCGGCCUGAGAGGGUGAACGGCCACAAUGGAACUGAGACACG
RNAcentral lists this ribosomal RNA (314 nucleotides) under Leptospira sp. RNAcentral describes it as "bacterial SSU rRNA". It matches the Rfam family "Bacterial small subunit ribosomal RNA", at positions 1 to 328 of the family's 1533-position model. The record is from RNAcentral. Lineage: Bacteria; Pseudomonadati; Spirochaetota; Leptospiria; Leptospirales; Leptospiraceae.